Cornus florida is the source of this 1171-nucleotide long non-coding RNA. RefSeq lists it as uncharacterized. The transcript is spliced from 4 exons. The record is from RefSeq and is a predicted model, not a curated record. NCBI's taxonomy places the organism in Eukaryota, Viridiplantae, Streptophyta, Magnoliopsida, Cornales, Cornaceae.
GUAACCGAGUUGCCUCAAGUAGGGCCGGCUGAGUCGACGGAUCCAAAUCCCGAGUCAACUCAACUCACCGGUGUAACUAUUCCGGAUCGGUUUGUCGUUAGUCGGCCGUCGUCCAUCCCCAUCAAUAGCCAAAUCCCAUCCUAAAUUUCUCUCUAAAUCACAAAGAGAGAGAAGCAAGACCAAACCCAAAACUCCCAGCACCUCUUUCCUUAAUUUCUCCCUUCUACCAUGAAAAUCUGAACAAAAUUUUCUCUCUAUCAGCAAAGCUCCUCUUUCCCCAUUCAAGCCAGUUUUCCGGCGGCCGGUGCCUCUUCUCGCCCCCGUCAAGGUCUAUAAAUGUUUUGCGGUGAAGUCAAAGCUCGAUACGUCGCUGAAGCAGCAAAUGCAUGAAGUCCACUCCUGAGGUUGGGAAACUAACGAGCUAUGCAUCUAGAAGAAAGAGAUGGGAUCGGAGCAUUUUGGUUUAGGUUAUAUCAAGAGACAGGCUGCUUCUAAAAGAGACUCAGUAACUUUUGGAGAGAACAUUGUUGGAACAUUGGUGGACGUUCCUUUCCUUGCUGGACAGUGUCCGCCAUCAAAGAGCUAGAAUCCUCGUCUUCACUUCUCCUGCAGUGGUCAAAAGAUAUGGAAGGGAAGUGGCGGACUACACUCCUCCACAGGGUUCGAUGGAGAUAUGCUACGCCGACAUGCAGGUGACAAAUGAGCGAUGAAGACUUUGCUUAGCUUCUGAAUGGCAUGAUAAGAUUGAGGUUCUAAAGUUUUUUGUAUCUGUGUAGAGCCAUAAUCAGACCUUGUGAAAUAUUAGAAAGAGUUGAAGAUUCUAAAAUAUUUGAGAGGUUUUAGAUAUGCGUAGGGAAGAUUCUAAAAGUGCCGGAGUUUUGUAUUGUUGUAAAUGUGUGAAUAUUUAUCUGGAGAGUUCUAGACAGUCUGCAUGGUGUCUAUAAAUAAGGUGAGGGUCACAAGCUACAAGAGCAACCAAUUAAAAGCCGGAAUAGAAGUAUUCUGGCAGCAGUGGGUGGGAUCUGGAGUUUUAAUAAGGAAUGGGUGUUUGUGUUUGGCGCAAGAGAUACAGUAUUUAAUCAUCUCUAUUUAUGUAUUACUAGAUCAAUCAACGUGCAUUGCACGUAAUGUAAAUUAUCUGUAAUUAUUUUUAUUGUUUUAAUUAAUUUUA